AAUAGGAGUGAUGAAACUUUCACCUUAGGUAGAUGCAACAGACCGUUUUGGUCAUUUACUGUAUCUGCCAAUGCUGGGGUAUGUCAUAGUUACACUGACCGUGC
This is a small nucleolar RNA of Centrocercus urophasianus (Greater sage-grouse), 104 nucleotides long. RefSeq annotates it as small nucleolar RNA SNORD46. The transcript has a single exon. The record is from RefSeq and is a predicted model, not a curated record. Lineage: Eukaryota; Metazoa; Chordata; Aves; Galliformes; Phasianidae.